CAAGGAGUAGUACGGAUCCGCACUUUCGUACGCUGAGUUGGUGGAGCGCAGCCGCGGCGCCUCGGGAUUGUACGACCCUGUAAGCGCAACGGGGAGGUUGAGGGCGCGGGGCAGACCAGGGGGUUAGAGGGUGGGCGAUAUGGGUCUGGGGGGAGCGGACCGGGUGGAUCCGACACACGAAAACACAUGUACAUGCACACACGUACACGCACACUCACAUGCGCCCCCAGAUUGCGGGCAUUCGCAGUGCGACCUCUGCCUGCACCUGCAGCUAGGUGCAACAUGCGUGUAAGCACUGUCGCACAGCGCAUGUCUUAUUAGCCACACAUACAUACAUACAUACAUACAUACAUACAUACAUACAUACAUACAUACAUACAUACAUACAUUCACACAGAUGUUGUCAUGUCUCCCCCGAGUAAGCGGCCCCACCUGGCCCCACAUCGGGUUUGGCGGCCGUGAUGUCGUCGUAACGCUUCACCUGCAACCACCAACCACCAGUCACACGGCGAGGUGACGUCAGCUCAGCUGUCAGAUCAGAUCUGGAGCAACCUCGUCCAGCUCAGCUCAGCUCAGGUUAAAUCAACUCAUGUCACAACUUAGGUCAGGUUAGGUCAAAAAAAUCGGGUCCCAGCGCAGGAAUCAGGCGAGGUGGAGUGGGCUGAGGAAAUGGGGCUUAGGGUUAGUGAUGUCCGUUGGCGAUGGUGGUUACCCCAGAGCCCCCUAAGGGCCGCUCGAGGGCAACAAGGGGGCUUAAAAUGAACCCCCAAAAACGGAGGAAACCCAAGCGCGACUAUGAAUGAAUGCAGACAGGCACGCGAGAACAUACACACCCACCAAGUCGUUACUCGUGUGCCGGGCUCCAGCCAGUUCCUGCCCACACGACUCAGGUCACCAGUAAAACACGCACACACAUACAUACACACUUACACACAUUCACAACGUGCCUCACGCCACGCCACGCCACGCCGCGCCAUGCACACACACACACACAUACACACAUACACACAUACAUACACACAUACAUACACACAUACACACAUACAUACACACAUACACACAUACAUAUACACACUCACACUCCCACCUGCAGCCGGGUAUCGGGUUUCAGCCCCAGCGGCAGGGCCAAGGUCCGGGGCAGCCCCGAGGAGAAGGCCACCUUGUAGGCCGGUGUCUCCCGGGCGCUGGUGUAGGCGUCGCAGCUGUUCGGGUGGCCGUCGAUGGUGACUUGGGGGGUGUAGACACUGCGAAACCAGCCAAACAGGGUGGUGAUGGAGUGAUUCGACGCGAUGCUAUAUCAGAUGCCGUGUUAGAUGCCGUUAAAACCGUGCUGGCACGAUCGCACGACGUACCUUUGCGGUCGCUCCUCCGCGGGUGGUUUGACCUCCCUGGCGUUCUUGCCCCAGCGGUCCGCCUCAAUGAUUCGUUCCUCUCGUGGGGCCCAACAGCCCUUGCUGGUCCAGUAGGUGAAGUCGGGCUCGGACAUGCGGCUCACGAUGGGAGGGGAGACGGCCGCUGUGGCAAUCUCCGUGGCGGUGCGACCUCUGAUGCGGGUGGGGUAGGGGUGGGGUAGGGUGAGGUGAGGCUAGGGUGGGGUAGGGGUGAGGUUGGGGUGGGGGUGGGGUAGGGGUGGGGUAGGGGUGGGGUAGGGGUGGGGUAGGGGUGGGGUAGGGUGAGGUGAGGCUAGGGUGGGGUAGGGGUGAGGUUGGGGUGGGGGUGGGGUAGGGGUGGGGUGGGGUGAGGUGGGGCGCCCGAUGGGAUUGUGUUUGUGAGGACGUUAUGGGGCGGGAAGGGGUGGUAGUUGUGUGGACAGUUGUGUGUGGAGGGGGGUUGGACGGCACACACACACACACACACACACACACGGCCUCCUGACACAUCAUCACUCCUCUCCUACUAUCAACAUCUACGUGAUGAUGAACCCUAUACCGGGGGCUACAGGGCUACGUCUCUAUCCGGUUGCUUUGGAGAAGUCCAAUCAUGUGGCACGACGUCGCAGGUGCCUACUCGCGGCUCGCCCCCGGCUCGCGUGAAGCCACCUUCCAGCGAAAACCACCAUCAGCAGUUCUCGAAUCGCGGCUCAGGUCACUAAUAAACACGCACACACGCACACACAAACAUACAUACGUACGUACAUACAUACGUACAUACAUACAUAUAGACACGCGUCCUAACCCACCUCAUCGGGGACAAGAAUACGGCCGAGGGCCGCCGAGGGUCACGUGCGUACUGCACUGUGUGGUGGACCUCCCCUGGAGUCACGGUCAGCGGCCCCGUGGCCCGCUCACCCAGAGGAUCGGAGUUGUACGAACCAGGACCCAAGACGUGUUCGUACGGCGGUUUCUGCAACACGUGUUGGUUUGUGUACAGGAGAGAGGCGGAGGGGGCAGGGCGCUAGGUAAAUGCGCAUAAUACCGUACAACACGGUUUUACUCACUACAAAGCGCACAAGGCCAAGCUGUUCUCUCGAAUAUUGCUAUCUAUCUAUCUAUCUAUCUAUCUAUCUAUCUAUCUAUCUAUCUAUCUAUCUAUCCAUCUAUCCAUUUAUCUGUUUCCGUUAAUUUUCUUCAUGCACGCGGGCAAAGGGUCUCCUUAGAGCACAGGUCCAACCAGGUGACGAUCAAGUCCUACUCAGAUCAAAACGACGAACGAGGGGCUCGGACGCCACUCAGUCCCUUGGUUCAUCAACCUGGUCUGCCUGGCUGUCUGUCUACCUGUCUGUCUAUCUGUCUGUCUAUCUGUUUGUCUGCCUGUCUGCCUAAUUGUCAGUUAGGAACCGGUCAGUCAGUCUGUUUGUCGGUCUAUCGGUCUGCGUCUCGCGGCGCCAACCGCGUGUGGGAGGUUUAUGAAAGUCGGGAGGCCAGCUGAACCCACACCCGCCGUGCGGGCCCCUCACCCCCCCUCUGGCUUAGGCAGCAACCCUUUGCUUAUUGCAUAAGAUUUCCCUUCCCCCUCUCCCCCCAUUUCCCCGACCGCCCCAAAACACACACACACAUGCAGACACACAGACACACACGCGCACCAGUUUCCGAAUGCGGGUAUCCUCCGAUGCGAGUUCGUUCAGGGCCAUGUGGGGCAAGGAGCGAAUGGAGGUGAAGGGGCGCCUGUCAUCCUCAACAAAGUCCUCAAUGCCCUCCUUGGGCGCGUAGAAGGAGUCCCGAAACACGGUGCGGGUGCCGGUGUCCACCCUAGUACGAUGGAGGCGAUAAAAAUGGCGGAAGGCGGGGAUUUAAGCGAUUAAGCAAUCAUGUGCGCGGGUUUAGGUGGGCUCAGGGUUGAGGGUCAACAAUGGGAUUGAUAGGUGAUGGUACUGGUACUGGUGCUACUAGUUUUGAUGUUUUUGCAAUCGUGGUGGUGGGAGAUGGGGGCCAUAUUGCCUGCAGCCUGGGCGGGGGGCUGUUGCGGGGCUGGAGUCGGGUUUGAGGUGGCUGGAUGGGGGAGGUGUGAAUGGUGGGGGAGGCUGGCGCGGGAGGGAGGGGGGAGUACAUCGUUAAUGCGGGGACGGGGG
Molecule: long non-coding RNA, 3508 nt
Filed under: Volvox carteri
Lineage: Eukaryota; Viridiplantae; Chlorophyta; Chlorophyceae; Chlamydomonadales; Volvocaceae
Description: long non-coding RNA (VCAR_LNC002645)
Source: RNAcentral